AGUGGGGUAGCGCAGACGGUAGCGCGCCAGGCUCAUAACCUGGAGGUCGCCGGUUCGAGUCCGGCCCCCGCAACCA
RNAcentral lists this transfer RNA (76 nucleotides) under Nitratireductor sp. Its description in RNAcentral is "tRNA-Met". It matches the Rfam family "tRNA". Rfam says of the family: Transfer RNA (tRNA) molecules are approximately 80 nucleotides in length. The record is from RNAcentral. Lineage: Bacteria; Pseudomonadati; Pseudomonadota; Alphaproteobacteria; Hyphomicrobiales; Phyllobacteriaceae.